CGUAGGGUCCGAGCGUUGUCCGGAAUUAUUGGGCGUAAAGGGCUCGUAGGCGGUCUGUCGCGUCGGGAGUGAAAACCAGGUGCUUAACACCUGGCCUGCUUUCGAUACGGGCAGACUAGAGGUACUCAGGGGAGAAUGGAAUUCCUGGUGUAGCGGUGAAAUGCGCAGAUAUCAGGAGGAACACCGGUGGCGAAGGCGGUUCUCUGGGAGUAUCCUGACGCUGAGGAGCGAAAGUGUGGGGAGCGAACAGGAUUAGAUACCCUGGUAGUCCACACCGUAAACGUUGGGCGCUAGGUGUGGGAUCCAUUCCACGGGUUCCGUGCCGCAGCUAACGCAUUAAGCGCCCCGCCUGGGGAGUACGGCCGCAAGGCUA
This 373-nucleotide ribosomal RNA is filed under the name uncultured organism. RNAcentral's name for it is "bacterial SSU rRNA". It matches the Rfam family "Bacterial small subunit ribosomal RNA", at positions 526 to 896 of the family's 1533-position model. The record is from RNAcentral.